ACGUGGAACCUGGUUCUAGGGUGUCCACAAUCUCCACAGAGGCGGCAUUGGGUCACCGCUGGAGGAUGCAGCAGGAGGGAGGACCCGUGAGGAGCGCCCCCUGUAGGACCGGAACCCUGGAGGGUUCGCGGCAAGGGUCUCCGGGGCAUAGGAAACGGGCAUCCCCCAAGGGUAGUCUGAGUUCCGCCCAGCCCCAUUCCUGGAUGCUCACGCCGUCUCCCCUAAACUCCCACUGCGCUCACCGGGAGCCCAUCUCAUCAUCACCACAGCCCGUGGCUAAUGGGCCAAAACAGAAGAAGAAAAGCAACUGGCGGAGUACAACGCGCCUGCGCAUUAUCAGACUCAGGGACAGGCUGGAACCUCGCCCCGUAAGUAGGCCAUUUAAUGACGCGCAAACUGGGAAGGCCUAUGACUGUUGAAGAGGAUAAUCAGAAGCCAACCCCUACGGGUCCCCGGUAGCUCGCCGUGAUCGUAUAGUGGUUAGUACUCUGCGUUGUGGCCGCAGCAACCUCGGUUCGAAUCCGAGUCACGGCAUUGUGGGAACAAUGGCACGGCAAGGGGCUCGGUAUUUUUUUCCCCUUUUUUGUAACAUUUUAUAUAAAUCGUAAUUCACUUUCUUGAAA
This is a long non-coding RNA of Homo sapiens (human), 623 nucleotides long. The record is from Ensembl. Lineage: Eukaryota; Metazoa; Chordata; Mammalia; Primates; Hominidae.